AUCAUUACCAGCUGCCGUGUUAAGCAUUGCGAAAACGCUCACGAUUCACAGAAAAAUCCAUGCUGUUCUUUGAAGGCAUUCAAGCCUUAAUAGCUAGCUGGAUGAAUGUUUAACUUCUAGGCCAGGCACUACUCUGUCCCAACAAUAAGCCCUGUACAUUGGGAAAGGUGCCGAGACAUGAACUUUGGUCUUCUCUGCAAUCCAUCUGGAGCAUUCACUGACAACAUCGACUUUGAAGUUGCACUGACCUGGCCAGCCCUGCCACUUACCAGGUUGGCUCUGUAUGGCUAAGCGUUUUCUCCUAAAAUCCCUUGAAAACUGUGAGAAGACCAUAAGAAGAUCAUAUCUUUAAUUCUAUUUCACAAGUCACACAAUAUUCCAAUCAAAUACAGAUGGUUGAGAAAAGUCAUCCAUCUUCCCUCCCCACCCUCCCACAGCCCCUCAACCACUGCCCUGAAACUUAUAUGCUGUUAUCCGCAGCUCCAUCUGGAGCAUCACAGCUACUGUCAACCCUGACGCUCUUUCUGAAAAAACACCGGAUGGACAUCAGAACUAUUUCUUUAAGGAUGUUACUGAGCCACACAGGAAAACUUGCCUUAUGAUUUUGAAUGCACGGAUCUGAUUUGACUAAACAUGAUAACUAGAGAAUCACCCAAUCUACUCCCAUUUUCAACUCUAAAUCAUCAGAGUGUCUCAAAUCCAAAGCACACACAGACCAGCCUGGCCAACACGGUGAAACUCCACCCCUACUAAAAGUAUAAAAAUUAUCCAGGUGUGGUGGCGGGCGCCUGUAAUCCAAGCUACUUGGGAGUCUGGAGGCAGGAGAAUCCCUUGAACCUGGGAGAUGGAGGUUGCAGUGAGCAGAGAUCACACCACCGCACUCUAGCCUGGGCCACAAAUCAACAACAACAACAACAACAAAAAACAAAGCGCACACAGAGACUGAGGUCCUCUUUGGCAUUGAGAAGAUGGCUAUGCAAGUCCCAACUAGCAAGUGCAAACUUCCCAGCUUCACUUCUGCCAGUGUCCCUUCACCCCUUCUCAACCCCACUGGGAGGCAGGAGGGUGCUUGACAAUAACAGCCUUGGCAUCACUCUGCCAGGGUGUAAUAGGAACUGUUACAAUUCUGAGAUUCUGUGUAAGCACUGGCCUUUCUGCCUAGAAUGCCUUCUCCUCUCUUUUUUAACUGCAUGCUCCUAUUUAUCUUUCAAAGCCCGGAAAAAAUAACACUGCACACGGGAAAUGCUCCCUUCCUACUGCAGUCAUUUAGAUGACUCUAUGCCAUUCCAUUCAUUUCUCUUUCCUACCACAGAAGUGCUUUGAGAUUUUGGAGUCAGACUGCUUGAACUUGAAUCCUGGCCCUCUCAUCAGAGACUUGACUUAUUUUAGGCAAGUUAUAUAACCAAUUUUACCUCAGUUCCUUACCCAUAAAAUGGGUCUAAUGAGAGUACCUACCACACAGAAUUUUGAUGAAAACUGAAUGAGAUGAAGGCCUUUAAGGCAGUGGUCCCCAACCCUGGGGACACAGACAGGUACCAUUUUGUGGCCUGUUAGGAACUGGGCCACACAGCAGGAGGUGAGCAGUGGGUGAGUGAGAUCAGCGUUAUUUACAGCUGCUCCCCAUUGCUCACCUUACUGCCUGAGCUCCACCUCCUGUCAGAUCAGCAGUGGCAUUAAAUUCUCAUAGCAGCACAAACCCUGUCAUGAACUGCACAUGCGAGGGAUCUAGGUUGUGCGCUCCUUAUGAGAAUCUAAUGCCUAAUGACCUGUCACCGUCUCCCAUCACCCCUAGAUGGGAGUGUCUAGUUGCAGGAAACAAGCUCAGGGCUUCCACUGAUUCUACAUUAUGGUGAGUUGUAUAAUUAUUUCAUUAUAUAAUACAAUGUAAUAAUAAUAGAAACACAGUGCACAACAAAUGUAAUGUGCUUGAAUCAUCCCCAAACCAUCCCAGUCCACGGUCUUCCACAUUUUGUCUUUUCACAAAAUUGUCUUCCACAAAACUGGUCCCUGGUGCCAAAAAGGCUUGGGACCACUGCUUUAAAGCCUUUGCAUAGUGCUUAGAAUUGAGGGGGAAAAAAAAAACAAAAACAAUGUAGCUAGUUGCUACAAUCACUAUAUUGGUGAGUUUC
RNAcentral lists this long non-coding RNA (2129 nucleotides) under Homo sapiens (human). Its description in RNAcentral is "non-protein coding lnc-FAM84B-15:124". Lineage: Eukaryota; Metazoa; Chordata; Mammalia; Primates; Hominidae. The record is from RNAcentral.